GUGCCCUCUCAAGGCUGACUCGGUGCUUGCAGAGGCCAACACAGAAGGGUAGAGGACAGGCUCCAUAAAACCCAGCGAGGGGACGGACCGACUCCUCCCUGGAUCCUGUCUGGAGCCACAGCC
This is a small nucleolar RNA of Sorex araneus (European shrew), 123 nucleotides long. RefSeq annotates it as small nucleolar RNA SNORA26. The record is from RefSeq and is a predicted model, not a curated record. Lineage: Eukaryota; Metazoa; Chordata; Mammalia; Eulipotyphla; Soricidae. The transcript has a single exon.